AAGAUAUUUUAAAUGGAUGUCUACGAGAAAACCAUGCAAAAUCAAAAAAAAAUUAUGAAAGGGGUUGUGGAAUUUUCAGCUGAUUUUGGGUUCCUAGUAAAGUAUUAAGUACAUCUAAUAGUUCUAUGGUUAAAAAAUGACAAUUUAUCUCAAAUUAUGUGAAUACAGGGCAAUUCUAGUUUAGUACCAAAUUUGCUGGAAAAUGUUGUUGAAAAUGGACAUUUUUGGGGUUUUUUUAUUGAAUAGUUCAAAGUAUU
This 257-nucleotide long non-coding RNA is filed under the name Mytilus galloprovincialis (Mediterranean mussel). The record is from RNAcentral. Lineage: Eukaryota; Metazoa; Mollusca; Bivalvia; Mytilida; Mytilidae.